GUCCACGCCGUAAACGAUGAUAACUAGCUGUAUGCGAUAGACAGUAUGCGGCUAAGCGAAAGCGAUAAGUUAUCCACCUGGGGAGUACGACGGCAACGUUGAAACUCAAAGGAAUUGACGGGGGCCCGCACAAGCGGAGGAACAUGUGGUUUAAUUCGAUGAUACGCGAGGAACCUUACCUGGACUUGAACGGAUAGUGACGUGGGGAGAGAUUUCCAUUUUAGCAAUAACACUUACCGAGGUGCUGCAUGGCUGUCGU
Molecule: ribosomal RNA, 259 nt
Filed under: uncultured bacterium
Lineage: Bacteria
Description: partial 16S ribosomal RNA
Rfam family: Bacterial small subunit ribosomal RNA
Source: RNAcentral